GAGAAAAGAAGAGAAUGGACUGGGGCACUAGCAUUGAGAAUGUUUUAUUUCCUUAGUUGGGUGGUAGGCUCAGAGGUAUUUGUUUUAUUAUUUUGCUUCAUAACUCACUUGUAUGUUACAUGUAGUUUCCUAUAUACAUUAAAUAUUACACUUUUUUUAGAAAUAAAAAGGAAACUAAACUAGGUACUCAAAGACCACCUCUCCCCACAAGGGCUGGCCUUAUGAUGGAGUUCAACAAACCUUCAAGAAGAUGAUGAUUCUUCUGCUUUUCAAACUGUUUCAAAGCAUGCUAAAAGACAAGACACUUUUGAAUUUCACAAAACUAGCAAAAUCCUUGUCUAGCACAAUAAAAGAGAGCCAUGAACAAGAGCACUCAUUGAAAAAAAAAGCCCAAAAAUUCAAAAUAAAAUAUUCACAAAUCAAAUCCACUAGUGAAUUUAAUGAAUAAAUCACCACGAUUAAGAUAGAUAGUUCCAAGAAUGUAAAGAGAAUCCAACAUUAAGAAAUGUAUUAAUAUAGUUCACUUUUUAAGUAGAUUAAAGGAGAAUACCACAUCAGCACCUCAUGAAGGUAAACAACGCUUAACCAAACUCAACAACAUUCCUGAUAAAAACGUAGAAGGGAAGCUGUCACUGGAUAAAACUGAUCCACCUACAACAUCUGGCAGGCCUCACACUUAGUGAUGAAAUAUUAGCUUUCCCAUUUAAGUGUGAAAGACGAGAAUGUUCACUUUCAUUGCUCUGAUUUAACACUGUAUACUGGAAGGCCUAGCAAUUGAAUGAAGACAAGAAGUAGAGAUAAGAGGUACCAGGUAUCAGAAAAGCAGCAGCAGAAUUGCCAUUAUUUGCAAGUUGUAGGCACAUUCACACAUACAUAUGUAGGCAUAUACGAACACACACAGAGACACAUAAUACACACCCUUAUGCUUAUAAAUGUGUAGGAAUGGGUCCGGAAGAACAAAUGCCAAACUGUUAACAAUGGUUUCAUCUGGGGAGGAAGGAAGGAUUGGGAAGGGAGUGAGGGUAAAGAGGAACCUUUAACUUAUGCUUCGCAUUUCUUGAAUUUGUUUUUAUAACAAUAGCUUUCCUAAUUUAAAAGAAAAUUCAAAAUGUUGAAAGUCAUACGGCUGGACGUGGUAGACCCAAGGCUCAAACUCAGGUGUUUCAUUGCCAAGUUAGUUCCACACGGUUGGUUUUUCAUUUUAGAUAUCAGAAAGCUGGAGAAAGGUUGAGCCACUGAGAACUGUGCACAAAGAAUCAGUAAUUAUGGGCAUUACACUGAUACUUCAUUUCUAUUUGCCACAAAUAACCCUCCAGGGACUAAUAAUAAUGGCUAGCUUUUUAUAAAGGCUAUCACUGCUUACAAAGCAACUCUACAGGGCUGCCUGGGUGGCUCAGUAGGUUGAGUGUCUGAUGCUGAGUCUCAGCUCAGUUCACGAUCUCACACUUUGUAAGAUUGAGCCCUGCGCUGGGCUCUGCGCUGACAGCAUGGAGGCUGCUUGGGAUUGUCUCCCUCUCUCUUCCUCUGACCCUCUGUCUCACUCACAUGCUCUCUCUCUCUAAAAUUGAAACAAACAAAGCAACUCUACAUUCAUUAUUUAAAUUAUUUUAAUCCUUAAAAAGUAAUUUCAAUAAUCCAUGAACAUGAAAAUGUCCCACAGUGUAAUCUAAAUGACAUGUCGUUAAAGAUAAGAUUCUUAUUAAGACUGUAGAUACGUGGGGGUGCCUGGGUGGCUGGUUAAAUGUCUGACCCUUGAUUUCCACUCAGGUCAUGAUCUCAUGGUCAUGAGAUCAAGUCCUGUGUAGGGCUCUGCACUGGGUGCAGAUCCUGCUUACGAUUCUUUCUCUCCUUUUCUCUCUGCCCCUUUCUCGCUCCUGCUCUCUCUCUCUCUCUCUCUCUCAAAACAAAAACAAAAACAAAAAAACAACAAAGACUGCAGAUAUGUCAUUUCUGGAACUUUCAAAAGCACACAGGAAACUCCAACCCUAGGGAUCCAGGUAACUGAUAAACCUUCUCCCACCACAUUCCCUCACAGUGUAUGCUUCUGUAAUCUGAACAAAGCUUUGUUUCCAGAAUAUGUCAUGCUCUUUCUUAUUUCUGGGGCUCUGUAGAUGCUUUCCUUCUUCCUGGAAUGUCCUCCCUCCCUCUUUUUCCACUUAAAAUGCCUACUCAUGGGGCGCCUGGGUGGCUCAGUCGGUUGAGCAUCUGACUUUGGCUCAGGUCAUGAUCUUGUGUCCGUGGGUUCAAGCCCUGCAUCUGGCCCUGUGCUGACAGGUCAGAGCCUGGAUCCUGCUUCGGAUUCUGUGUCUCCCAGUCUCUCUGCCUGUCCCCAGCUCACACUCUGUCUCUCUCUAUCUCUCAAAAAAAAAAAAAAAAAAAAAAAUGGCUACUCAUCUGUGCAGAAAAGAGUUAACAUAGCAGACCUGAGUGCUCUCCUUUAAAAAGAUCUGCUUAUGAGGUUGGUCACUGACUGAUGUUUGGAAAUGGAUUUGGGGAGGGUUCCCACCACUCCCAGAGCUGGUAAAAGUGGCUAACUGUGCAUAUACUGUACUAAUAAUAAGGGUUUAUGCUGAACACCGUAUCUAGCAAUCUGGACUGUUGGUACAUGGCAGGCAAAGGGUGCUUAUGUGGCCAGUCCCCCCAAAACCCCUAAGUGCUGGGUCUCUAAUAAGCAUACCUAAUUGACAGUAUUUCACAUGUAUUGUCACAACUCACUGUGAGGGGAAUCAAGUGUGUCCUGUGCGACUCCACUGGGAUAGGACCCUUGGAAUGUUGCCUGGUUUCCUCUAGACUUUACCCAUGGAGUUUGCUCUUUAUCCCCGCCCUAGAGUGGAUCAUAGCUGUAAGUGCAACCACACGCUGAGUCGCUGAAUCGCCGUUAAUCACUGAACUUGGGGAUUGUCUUGAAGGCCCCCUAAUACACAGCCCUCCAAGCCUCAGUACAAACACGACAUUGCAGAGUUUCUCUUCCCUUUGUUAGGCAGGUUGCAUUGCUUCUUUACCCCUUUGCCUCUGCUCUUGCAAUUAAACAGAAUUUCAUAUUGCAUGAUCAUUAACUGUUUGCACUCUGGGCCCUUUUAAAAGUGUAAGCUCAUCAAAGACCUUAUCUUUUCCUUCUUUCCUCGGCAUCCAGGGGGCACAUCCUGGCAGCACCUGGAGAGUAACUGUAGUGACAGCCAAUCAGUGCUGUUGACUAUGUGCCCAACACUGUAACUAGGAGCUCUGCACAUUCUAUCACAUUUAGCCCUUCCAACCACCCCUUAAAGGAGCUACUAUUAUAAUUCUCAUUGUAAAAAUAAAAAAAAAAAAAAACAACACAGAGGUUCUAAGUUAAAUGAAUGAAUGAACCACCCAAAGAAUAUAUCAUUCUAGCCCUUAAGGAAUCACUUUGCCACAUGGCAUUCUAGUGCUAUGGCUAUUAAUUCACAUGCACUGUGUGCUAUGAGCUUCGCCGGUGGUGUUAUCUAUUACAUCAUGUGUUAUAUGCAGUACGAAGUAUUUUUUUUUAUUAUAGCGUAUAUUUUGUUAUUAUUGUUUACUGGCUAAGACAGGUCUGUCAUACACAGUUCAAAAGGUACACAGGUGUACAGGGCAGUGGAAGUCUCUCACCUGCCUCCACCCCCAGCCACCCCCUUUUCUCUCCUUUGCUGUAUAUCCUUCCAGAGGGGGGAUGAACAAGUAUGUUAACGCCUUUUACACAAAGAGUAGCAUCUCAUACAUGUUGCUCUGCAACUUGCUCCUCUUACCUGACAAGAAAGACAUCCUGGUGGUCAUUUCCUAUCAGUACAUAUAGAACUGCAUCAUUCUCGGGGCGCCUGGGUGGCUCAGUCGGUUAAGCGUCCGACUUCGGCUCAGGUCAUGAUCUCGCAGUUCGUGAGUUCAAGCCCCGCGUCAGGCUCUGUGCUGAUGGCUCAGAGCCUGGACCCUGCUUCAGAUUCUGUGUCUCCCUCUCUCUGACCCUCCCCCGUUCAUGCUUUGUCUCUCUCUGUCUCAAAAAUAAAUAAACGUUAAAAAAAAAAUUAAAAAAAAAAAAGAACUGCAUCGUUCUCUUUGAUCACCUGCCUUGUGUCUCUUAUUGAGGGACAUUUAGGUUUUUGCAACAGACGGAUAAUGAAAAGUGGUUCAGAGAGCAUUCUGCACACUUAGAGUGGAUUUACAUAGUGACGUAUUAGAAAUGGAAAAGCUGGGUCAAAGGGCUAUUUAUCGUUUAUUUUUAAUGUAAAAAAUCGACUUUAGAGUUUUAAUUUAAAUUAUGGUUCGUUAACAUGCAGUGUAACCAUAAGUGUGCAAUACGGUGGUUCAACACUUACAUACACCACAACAGAAAUUAUUCAUAAAGCAUAACAUUUGCUUUUUUGAAAGGUAUAAUUCAGUGUUUUUUUUUUAGUACAGCCACAAGAUUGGGCACCCCUCCCCACUAUUUAAUUCCAAAAUAUUUUCAUUGCUACAAAGAGAAACCCUGUCCCCAUUGUAUUUAAUUUUAAUUUUUAAUUUUGAUAGGUUUUGCCAAAUUGCUUCAUCAAAAUUUAAAAAAAAAAACAAAAAACAUUUUUGGCCCACUUCUAGAACUGUGUCAGUUUCUAAGUUGCCUUUCCUUCCCCCUCCUCACAUACAACAGUAUCUCACUGGUCUUAUCUGAGGAGGUUAAGUCCAAAUUCAGGAAAGACAAGGCACACUCCCACCCCCACACACCAUUCUGCUGCGUCCUGCAAAGAAACUGGAUCCCGGCAUGUUUCGCACACGGACAAAAGCCCCAAAAGUCCAGCUUGACUUCAUGGCCCUUUACAUUCCUUAGGGAAUGCGUGCAAUCUCUACCAGUGAACGGGGCCACUCUCCUAAUUCUGACAAGACCAACAGCAUUCUAGUGACCUCAAUGUUUUUACAAGGUCCUAAGAACCUAAAUGCUCCUGCCACCGGAAAAUCAAGGAAGGAACAGGCCUUCCCUGUGUUUGUUCUCAAACCCAUGCACCAACCGCAGACCAGGUUGUUUGUCCUUGGCUCACAGUUACCGGUGCCGACAGUGUCAGCGACAGGACCCCAGAUAAGGCUUGCUUGGCAUAAGGCCCCCUCCUCCCACCACCUGCCAGCCCCUGCUUAUCUGGGAAACCGACCCUGAGCUGCUACCCAGAGUCCGCUGCUUGGCCUCCAGCCCCACGCUGAGCCACACCAGCUAAACAACACUGGGAGCACAAUGCUUUCUUCCCCCUUUUUUCCUUUUCCUCAUGCGUUUUUAUGAACAUCCACAGGGAAGAUAAUUAAAACCUGCAAGGAAACCAGCUGGCAGCGAAAAAGAAAAUCUUGGUGACUUGGGGACGACGCCACAUGUUUAUGGGAGCACAGCAGUCAUGUCGCCGAGGCUCUGCACCGGUGUGUGCACGGGUGUAGGUGCACACACACUCAGAAGAGGGACAACAGGGGAAGAGGAAGAGGCACAUGAGGGUCUUUAUUUAGCAAAGCGGAACAGAACAAAGGAGCGGGAGAGUGGCACCGCGUCACCUCUGAUUGGGUUUUCUGGCUACUAAGCGCAUAGACCUUAACUCGAAAGACAGAACUUCUGCCUUCCUCUCCCGAGUGCUGAGUGUUGUCUGAACGGCAUCAAGAUUUGGGGGAGCCAGUGUAAUCCCCUUUCAUUUUUCAUCUGCCUUGCUGACUGCAAAGAGAAACAGGGCCGCUCGCCUCCCCGCGUGUGACACCGGGCUUGAGGCACGCACAUUCCAGAGUGGCCUUCCCCAGGAGCCAGCUGUGUGCAGGAGGAGAAACGUGCACGCUGCAGGCAUCUGUCACCAAGGCCAUGCCAACUCCCCAGUGGGGCAACUGUACAGACAACCUCAGAAUGAGAUUUUAGAAAUGAUGGGAUUCUCCAAGAAGAAAAGAAGUCUUUCUGGAAGAAAAGGCAGAGCAAGCCUAAAAAAGCA
Long non-coding RNA from Leopardus geoffroyi (Geoffroy's cat), 5915 nucleotides. RefSeq lists it as uncharacterized. Lineage: Eukaryota; Metazoa; Chordata; Mammalia; Carnivora; Felidae. The record is from RefSeq and is a predicted model, not a curated record. The transcript is spliced from 3 exons.